Spodoptera frugiperda (fall armyworm) is the source of this 674-nucleotide long non-coding RNA. RefSeq lists it as uncharacterized. Lineage: Eukaryota; Metazoa; Arthropoda; Insecta; Lepidoptera; Noctuidae. The transcript has 5 exons. The record is from RefSeq and is a predicted model, not a curated record.
AACACAUAAUAACAUUCAGUGAACCUCCUGCUGUGAACGGGAUACAGUUCCAUAUUUCGGUUUAAGUACAUCGGCUUCCUAAAGGUACAUAACGAAAGUCAUGCGCCCGUCGCAGAGUCAGGGCGCGUAGCGAGCAGGAGAAAGGCGAGGUCAGAACCGCGAGGCGAGUCCCCCGCCGCGGCUGUCGGCGUGCGAGGUCAGAACCGCGAGGCGAGUCCCCCGCCGCGGCAGUCGGCGUGCGAGGUCAGAACCGCGAGGCGAGUCCCCCGCCGCGGCAGUCGGCGUGCGAGGUCAGAACCGCGAGGCGAGUCCCCCGCCGCGGCAGUCGGCGUGCGAGGUCAGAACCGCGAGGCGAGUCCCCCGCCGCGGCAGUCGGCGUGCGAGGUCAGAACCGCGAGGCGAGUCCCCCGCCGCGGCAGUCGGCGUGCGAGGUCAGAACCGCGAGGCGAGUCCCCCGCCGCGGCUGUCGGCGUGCGAGGUCAGAACCGCGAGGCGAGUCCCCCGCCGCGGCAGUCGGCGUGCGAGGUCAGAACCGCGAGGCGAGUCCCCCGCCGCGGCAGUCGGCGUGCGAGGUCAGAACCGCGAGGCGAGUCCCCCGCCGCGGCAGUCGGCGUGCGAGGUCAGAACCGCGAGGCGAGUCCCCCGCCGCGGCAGUCGGCGUGCGAGGUCAGAAC